AGUUGAAAUCGAGGAGGAAGGCAAGAUUGAUCGGAAAAAAAAGUUCAUUUAUCGAAAAACUUUCGACGGAAACGAUCGAUGCUUAAGUCAGAGAUCUAGUAGAAAAGAUAGAAUGAAUGUAGAGGAGGAUAGCAUUGCUUAUCUGAGGGUCCCCUUGCUAUAUUUAUAUAUAGGACAAGAGCAGUGUCCGUUGUCUAGUUUAUUGGGUAGUAUUAUAACCGCUUGAUAAUAACUAACCAUGCCUUAACCACAUGGGACAGCUAUCCACAAUUGAUAGGUGAUGGUCAUUUCACCUCGGUCAAUCCUAAGGCGAAAAAGGUUAGAAAAGGUGAGGAUGAGUGGAUAGCCAAUAUUCUCCCCAUGAACCUCUCUUCGUGGGAUUGGUAGAUGGACUAGAUUCAAUGGACAUC
Molecule: long non-coding RNA, 410 nt
Filed under: Phoenix dactylifera (date palm)
Lineage: Eukaryota; Viridiplantae; Streptophyta; Magnoliopsida; Arecales; Arecaceae
Description: long non-coding RNA (PDAC_LNC004008)
Source: RNAcentral